CAUUUCCCAGCAGCCCCUGCAGCGCGUGGUGACGUGGCGGCGGGGGCGCGGCGGCGGCGCCUGAGGCGGGGGGCGCCGGUGGUAGUGAUUCCUGAGAGGCGUGCGGUGUGGAGUCGCCCCUGCCACCUGGGCGUCUGCGUACUUGAGGCCAAGAACUACUCGAGAAGAAAGCGUUCUGGAGGAUUCAGGAAAGGAAAGAAAGGAUGUCUCUUUCUCUGACAGAAGAGAGUCUUACAGAGGGGUAUGCCAGCCACACGUAGCCCUCUGCUUCUUGUCUUUAAUGAGCUGAGAGGACCUCCUGCCCUCUAGCCCAAGAGGAGAAGGCCCAUACAGUCACACAUGCCAGCUCUUCCCGGGCACUGACUCACGGAGCCUUUGACCCAAGGCACGAGAAGUGUCACCAUGCAGGUGGGGCAAAUGGAAGAGUCAGCUUUAAAUCGGAGUUCGUCAGCAACUAUAUUGCAUAUGCAAAGAGUAAGUGUUCCAAUCAAAAGGCAGAGACCGACAACCUGGGUACAAAAACAAUCAUGUUGUUUGAAGAAAACAACUCCUAUUUAAGGAUAUAUAAGGACACCGACAAGUUAAUCAUAAAAAAAUGGGAAAACUUUAUGUUGUGUUAGUCUGCUAAGAUUGGGCUGCUAUUACUAAACCAGAUGGCUUACAGACGGCAGAAAUUAAAAAAUAAACAGCAGAAACUUAUUUCUCACGGGCUGGAGGCUGGACAGGAGGAUGUUGGUGUUCCCAACCGGCAGGCACAGGCACACUUGCAAAUGGUUUCAUUUUCUUGAACCUCCUACAUAAAAUGUACCCUUACCUACAACUGUGAGCCUAUCGUAUUUCGUAUCGUUGUGCAACUAGGCAGACAGGCAGAACUUCAUGUCCUCAGAUGACCAAGGAUCAGGCUCCUGUUUCCCCUAGACUUAUGUUUUACUUCUCCAGUCACUACUGGAAAUUCCUGCUGUUGACUGUGAUGUAAUACGCAUGUGUAGGGCGCCUGGGUGGCUCGGAGAGUGUCUGCCUUCAGCUCAGGUCAUGAUCCCAGGGUCCUGGGAUCGAGCCCCGCGUCGGGCUCCCUGCUUAGUGGUG
Ailuropoda melanoleuca (giant panda) is the source of this 1086-nucleotide long non-coding RNA. RefSeq lists it as uncharacterized. The record is from RefSeq and is a predicted model, not a curated record. Lineage: Eukaryota; Metazoa; Chordata; Mammalia; Carnivora; Ursidae. The transcript is spliced from 3 exons.